CGCGGCUUUCGGCAAGGCGACCGGUUUCGCGAAAAUAGAGAACGAUCUUCCCCGUUCUUUCUUUGGUGGGUUGAGUUUUCCUGGAGGCACGCGCGGUCGCGAAUCGCGCGCGUGUACUUUCUUCCAGGGGCGUGGUACAGAGGGAGAAAUAAAAGCGAGCUGUAGUGUGAGAAAAAUUAAAAAAAAAAGGACGCGAGAGGCACGAGCGGUUCCUUUUAGGCUGAUUCAGUUCAUGGCUCGCGCGGACUAUAUUCACGCGGCCGCGGUCAGCGAACGACUGGUUGGUUGGCGCGCGCGCGCGCCGGCUGGAAGGGCUUCUCGGUACCGUCGCCCGACGCGCAUGCGCGGGGAAGGGGUUCUAAGGACCACGUGUGGUAGAAUCUUGCGCCGUGACUGUGUCUGGCGACUGGAAUACCUGCGAAAGUUGUGACACGAAUGUUAAAUAUGACGUAAAAUUCAAUCACUGGGAUUAAUUGAUCGACAUAUUACGAAAAUAAUUGUCUAUACCGACGCGCAUUCGUCCAAAAUCGUCGGAUAAAAUCACAUUUUCCACUUCAUCCGAGAAAUCAGCGAAGGUGUACGCUCCGAAAUGUUCCAACUUUUGGCGCAGCCCCGCCUACCUGUUCCUGGAAAUAUUCGCUUUGGGACAAACGUAAACAUGAGCUUACCUGGGCCGAGGAACCACCGUCCCUUCCAGGAUUUCGUCGCUUUUUCUGCGAUCUCAACCAACUGGAAGCAUUCCUUCACCUACAUCUGUCCUCCGGAUUCCACGGAGCCGUUCAUAUACAAACUAACCGAUUCCACCUGCGUUCCAUUUAAGAACCUGCCGUAUUUUUGUCACUCGUUUUACCCUCGAUCGCGUCCAGGACAAAUCACUUUGAACGUCGCUUAGAAGAUAUUGGGUCGUUGCAUUUCGAGGUAUUCGACGACCGAAAACAAUUAGCGACACGUAUUCGACGACACGCAACAUGCUAACAAUUGCUAGUGUACAAUCCAAUGCGAAAAGUAUUUUAAACAGAAAGUUACAUUACGUGGAGUAAAAUGUUUAUUCAUAUGGUCUCAUAGAGUCGAUUCAUAUAAAUCUAGUUUUGCGAAUCUUAAUUAUACCUCUGCAGCAAUUGUUUCACCUUUAUAUUAUAUUUUACUAUAUAUGAUAUUAUACGUGUACGAGAGGAACACGAGUUGGAAUUCGCAGAACUAGGAAGCAGUUGUUCGUUACUUAAAAUCACGAAUGUUUCGAAAUCGCUGAUAAUCUAAAAAAAAUGUAAAUCGCGUGAAUACAUUGCCGCCUCUGAUUUACAUAUCUAGCGUGCCAAUUUUUCGUGGGACUGUAUUGCACGAAAGGGAAGACCGUAAUUUGUCUUGGCAUGCAGGACACUGUUCAUGAAUGAAGUUGUACUGUGAACUCGUGCCGUCCGUGCCCGGCGGUGCCGCUUGAGAGAACGACACCGAGCCCGACUCCUGCGUUUUCUCGCAAACGCGUUUAUUAGUUGUGGCAAAUGCCACAGCCCGUGAUCGACCUUUCCUAUUGUCCGGAGAUGUGCCUCAGCGUGCCGCGUUCCCGCACUUCCUUUUCGUCUAGGAUCGCUCAUUACCAGUCCCACAAUUCCUGUCGUUUCGCGUCUGUUAUUUUCAAUUUCCAUUAGAGUAGACCAAUCGAAUCGGUCGUAAAGGAAAACGAAUUGUUGCAAAUAUUUUCUCACAACCUCCCGUAGAUAUCUCUUAUAGAUAUUUCGUUCACGUUUCUGCAAGAAACAAACAUCUCCACGAAAUACAUAUUGAUAUUACCUAAAAUUAAUUGUCGGCGUUAGUACGGAGAGCCAACUCGUCGCACUGACGCAUGAAAAAUAAUUUACAACGACGAAAUCGCGCGGGUCUGUCAGAAACGGUGAAAACGAUCAAAUCGUCCUGGUUUAAAUGCAUCAGGCCAUUACGAAUGAAUCACGGUUUUUUUAAGGCCUCUUUGUAUCAUGCACGGCGUCUUACCCCAAUUGCUGGUACAUCCUGUUUAGACAAUUGAGGAAGAUGCCACUUGCAACCGUGAAAUUAGUCCACCGAUCGCGCUUCAGCUCGUCGAGAUUGUCCGUAAAAUUUUUCCCUGGAAUUGCUUGAAAUUAUAUGGAAAGAUUGAAAAAAAGAUCUAUUUUUAAAGCGAACAGUGAGACUUAUUAUGGUUGCUGCGGGAGGAAAAUAGAAAACAGCAGGAGUACAGCGCGCACAACGUGGCAGAAUCGAGCGGAGCGCCGUUUUAAUUGUGUUCGCGGAUCAUUUGAAUUCUCUGCGAGCGACGGACAAUUUCGAAAAAUAUAUUCCGGUCGGGAACAAAGCAUCUACGACGUCUCCGGUGCGACGUGUGUGUUCUUUCACCUGUUAUUUCACUGUUCAUUGGCUGCGCACCUUACCCGGUGCAAAACUGAGCCGCACAAUAAAGGUCUCUCCCUGUCUCUCUUUCUCCUUCCAUCUCUGCGUCUCACCGAGAGGCUAGCGCGCCCUCUCUCGCGUGUAUACGUGUCGUGACCUUGUGGCAUUUGGUACCUGGCUGUACCAGUCGGCGCAUGACUCCGCCUGACGUAUAGUGAUAGGCACGAUUCGAGUGCCUGAAUCGCGCGAUCCACCUAUUUCCUUCUAUGUAUCAACUGGCCCCCACCUGUAUCGAUCCAUUAUUUGAUCACACUGGCCGACGAAUUGCAAUAUCUUCUGUUAUUAGAGAUUUUUACAAAUUUCUAUGCACUGCGCAGUAAUCCGUUAAACGUUCUCUAGCAGUACGUAGCCAUAGUUCUGCAAACAUUAUAUCUUGAGAGAAAAAUCAGGUUUUUAAGUUUACGUCACGUUUUAUCUGCGAACACUAUGUAAACGUUUCUUGUAGGAAUUAAUUGUAUAUAUUUUUAGUAUAUAAUUCUAUUUGUUUUAGAAAUUAAUAGAUCGCGAGGAAAUUUCAAAUACGUCACCUAAUAAAGCAGACUUUAAUUAAACAGCAACGCUAAAGAAAAGCUAGGACGUAGAUUCUGUGCACAAUCGAGAAAAUUAAAUAAUUACGCAUGACGCAUGUGCUUAGGGUAACAUCAAUCAUUGAGAUUGAGAAUCACUGGUGGUAGCUAGUGUCAUGCGUAACUAUUUAAUUUUCUCAAAUAAAAACAAAAUCUAUGUUACUGUUUUCUUUUUUCUUUGAUGGUAUAUCCUGAAUUAAAACAUACUCUAUCAUGUAAUGUAACUCAAUUUUAUCUCACACCUUUAUUUUGGAAAAUAAACUAAAAAUCACCUAA
Molecule: long non-coding RNA, 3263 nt
Organism: Megalopta genalis
Lineage: Eukaryota; Metazoa; Arthropoda; Insecta; Hymenoptera; Halictidae
Source: RefSeq, a predicted model, not a curated record